Molecule: ribosomal RNA, 253 nt
Filed under: uncultured bacterium
Lineage: Bacteria
Description: partial 16S ribosomal RNA
Rfam family: Bacterial small subunit ribosomal RNA
Source: RNAcentral
UACGGAAUGUGCAAACGUUAUUCGGAAUCACUGGGCUUAAAGAGUCCGUAGGCGGCUUGUUAGGUGAGGUGUGAAAUCCCUCGGCCCAACCGAGGAAUUGCGCUUCAAACCGGCAAGCUAGAGGAGGAUAGAGGUGGGCGGAACUGAUGGUGGAGCGGUGAAAUGCGUUGAUAUCAUCAGGAACACCGGAGGCGAAGGCGGCUCACUGGGUCUUUUCUGACGCUGAGGAACGAAAGCUAGGGGAGCAAACGGG